RNAcentral lists this long non-coding RNA (458 nucleotides) under Spirodela polyrhiza (greater duckweed). RNAcentral's name for it is "long non-coding RNA (SPOL_LNC001565)". Lineage: Eukaryota; Viridiplantae; Streptophyta; Magnoliopsida; Alismatales; Araceae. The record is from RNAcentral.
GUGUUGAUGAACGCCUUGUCCAGAAACGGCACACGGACUUCCAGGCCCCACGCGGAGGUCGCCUUGUUCGCCCUCAAGCAGUCGUACUGGUGGAGCGCCUUAAUCUGCAGAGAAGCCGUCGACCAUCGUCAUCUCUGUUCCAAAGAAUUCAGAGCAGGAACAGGGGGGGGGGGGGGGGGCCUAGAGUUGAUGAUACCUUGCGGCAGGUCUCACGGUGGAACUCCUCCUUGUUCGGGGCCUUGUGGAAGUAGAGGUACCCUCCGAAGAUCUCGUCCGAGCCUUCGCCGGAGAUGACCAUCUUCACGCCCAGCGACUUGAUCUUCCGGGACAUCAAGAACAUGGGGGUGCUGGCUCUGAUCGAUGUCACAUCGUAGGUCUCGAUGUGGUAGAUGACGUCCUCAAUGGCGUCGAUCCCGUCCUGCACAGUGAAGUGGAACUCGUGGUGGACUGUGCCGAGG